This 440-nucleotide ribosomal RNA is filed under the name uncultured bacterium. RNAcentral describes it as "partial 16S ribosomal RNA". It matches the Rfam family "Bacterial small subunit ribosomal RNA", at positions 338 to 795 of the family's 1533-position model. The record is from RNAcentral.
CCUACGGGAGGCAGCAGUGAGGAAUAUUGGUCAAUGGGGGAAACCCUGAUGCAGCGACGCCGCGUGGGUGAAGAAGCGCCUCGGCGCGUAAAGCCCUGUCAGCAGGGAAGAAAAUGACGGUACCUGAAGAAGAAGCCCCGGCUAACUACGUGCCAGCAGCCGCGGUAAUACGUAGGGGGCAAGCGUUAUCCGGAUUUACUGGGUGUAAAGGGGGCGCAGACGGCGAUGCAAGCCAGGAGUGAAAGCCCGGGGCCCAACCCCGGGACUGCUCUUGGAACUGCGUGGCUAGAGUGCAGGAGGGGCAGGCGGAAUUCCUGGUGUAGCGGUGAAAUGCGUAGAUAUCAGGAGGAACACCGGUGGCGAAGGCGGCCUGCUGGACUGCAACUGACGUUGAGGCCCGAAAGCGUGGGGAGCAAACAGGAUUAGAUACCCUGGUAGUC